AAACACACAUUAUAUGUGUGUGGAUCGAAAAGAACGCAGGAAGGGGGCGACCAAACCACCUUCAAACCCUAGCUUCAACAAUUGAUCAAAUUGAGGGCUCCAAUCUGUUCCAAAUCGAUUUCCAAGCAUAAAUUAGUGAUCAUCUUAGCGAAAUGAUCAUAAGGCAAAGCGGGUGAAUCUUCAAGCAGCCAAAUUGGGAAAGACGCGCGCUUGAAGGAUAAGCUAUAAGGUGAUAUUCCGGAUAGUGGUCAAGCAAAUGUCGAGAAAUGAACACAGCAUUUUAAAGCUUCCGCAAGCAUGACUUUUGUUUUAGCUUAACAUGGAUCUUGUAUUACUUAAAAUUACACUAUAUUUGUUUUUAACUAGCAAAGCGGGUGAAUCUUCAAGCAGCCAAAUUGGGAAAGACGCGCGCUUGAAGGAUAAGCUAUAAGGUGAUAUUCCGGAUGGUGGUCAAGCAAAUGUCGAGAACUGAACACAACAUUUUAAAGCUUCCGCAAGCAUGACUUUUGUUUUAGCUUAACAUGGAUCUUGUAUUACUUAAAAUUACACUAUAUUUGUUUUUAACUAGUAAGGAUUAAAAUACUAGACACUUUAAUUAGUAGGAACUAUGAACUUACGGAAAAUUUUUGUUAACCCGUAUUUCACGCAAACUAAAUGCGUACUUAGUAGUAAAUUCAUAUUAAAUUAAGACGGGUGUUACAAAA
Molecule: long non-coding RNA, 704 nt
Organism: Helianthus annuus (common sunflower)
Lineage: Eukaryota; Viridiplantae; Streptophyta; Magnoliopsida; Asterales; Asteraceae
Exons: 5
Source: RefSeq, a predicted model, not a curated record